Small nuclear RNA from Bombina bombina (fire-bellied toad), 167 nucleotides. RefSeq annotates it as U1 spliceosomal RNA. NCBI's taxonomy places the organism in Eukaryota, Metazoa, Chordata, Amphibia, Anura, Bombinatoridae. The transcript has a single exon. The record is from RefSeq and is a predicted model, not a curated record.
AUACUUAUCUGGCAGGGGGAUCUUAGCCAUGAUCACUAAGGUGGCUCUCCCAGGACGAAGCUGGUUCAUUGCACUCCGAGCCUGCUGAUCUCUGCGAUUUCCUCACAUGUGGGAAACUCGACUGCACAAUUUAUGGUAGUGAGGGACUGCGUGUGCGAUUUCCCCUA